GAUGAACGCUGGCGGCGUGCUUAACACAUGCAAGUCGAACGGAAAGGCCCAAGCUUGCUUGGGUACUCGAGUGGCGAACGGGUGAGUAACACGUGGGUGAUCUGCCCUGCACUUCGGGAUAAGCCUGGGAAACUGGGUCUAAAACCGGAUAGGACCACAUUUUGGAUGGUGUGGUGGAAAGUUUUUCGGUGUGGGAUGAGCUCGCGGCCUAUCAGCUUGUUGGUGGGGUAAUGGCCUACCAAGGCGUCGACGGGUAGCCGGCCUGAGAGGGUGUACGGCCACAUUGGGACUGAGAUACGGCCCAGACUCCUACGGGAGGCAGCAGUGGGGAAUAUUGCACAAUGGGCGCAAGCCUGAUGCAGCGACGCCGCGUGGGGGAUGACGGCCUUCGGGUUGUAAACUCCUUUCGCUAGGGACGAAGCGCAAGUGACGGUACCUGGAGAAGAAGCACCGGCUAACUACGUG
Molecule: ribosomal RNA, 465 nt
Filed under: uncultured bacterium
Lineage: Bacteria
Description: partial 16S ribosomal RNA
Rfam family: Bacterial small subunit ribosomal RNA
Source: RNAcentral